Small nuclear RNA from Tupaia belangeri (northern tree shrew), 160 nucleotides. Its record names the gene U2. It matches the Rfam family "U2 spliceosomal RNA". From Rfam's summary of the family: U2 is a small nuclear RNA (snRNA) component of the spliceosome (involved in pre-mRNA splicing). Complementary binding between U2 snRNA (in an area lying towards the 5' end but 3' to hairpin I) and the branchpoint sequence (BPS) of the intron results the bulging out of an unpaired adenosine, on the BPS, which initiates a nucleophilic attack at the intronic 5' splice site, thus starting the first of two transesterification reactions that mediate splicing. Lineage: Eukaryota; Metazoa; Chordata; Mammalia; Scandentia; Tupaiidae. The record is from Ensembl.
GAAGCAGCAUCAGCCAUGUGGAAGUCCAGUGUAGUAUCUGUUUUCGCGAGGACAAUAGAAGAAGUAAAUUUUAGGAGCAGGGAGGUUGAAGGGAAGCUUGCUUCAUCCAAUUCAUGCAUUGACUUGGUAUUGCAGUACCUCUAGGAAUGGUGCACAUCCU